Long non-coding RNA from Daphnia carinata, 424 nucleotides. RefSeq lists it as uncharacterized. The transcript has 3 exons. NCBI's taxonomy places the organism in Eukaryota, Metazoa, Arthropoda, Branchiopoda, Diplostraca, Daphniidae. The record is from RefSeq and is a predicted model, not a curated record.
UGUCGAACUGAGGAUGGUUGCUGAAAAGAAGGUCUUCCAUCUUGGAAUUUCCCUACCAAUUUCACGUUUCAUGACCUGGAUUUUGUGAGUUAACGCCAUGCUAUAUGGUGAAAGAGGAGCAUGGAUUGGCUUUACAAGCACGUUUUUCAGUUACGUUAGUUGAAGACAUCAAUUUUGUUACCGAAGGUGCUACACAGAAGCAAUUUUUAUAAUCCUUCUCACAAUCUAGGUUCGAUGAGGUCUUUCGAAUGCAUCUGAUGGGCCCCAGUGGUUGCAGAAUCAUCCUUCGGCAGAAGGUAACACUGCCAAUGUGCAAUUGUCAGUCUAAAUUAAAGAUGUUGUGUUAGUGAAUCAUUAGCAUACACACGGAAACAAAAUGAAGUUCAAGAUGAUUUUGAUCUUGUCAUCUCUUACUGAUUGAUCA